This 482-nucleotide ribosomal RNA is filed under the name uncultured bacterium. RNAcentral describes it as "bacterial SSU rRNA". It matches the Rfam family "Bacterial small subunit ribosomal RNA", at positions 30 to 506 of the family's 1533-position model. The record is from RNAcentral.
CGAACGCUGGCGGCGCGCCUAAUACAUGCAAGUCGAGCGAGAAGGUGUAGCAAUACACUUGUAAAGCGGCGAACGGGUGAGGAAUACAUGGGUAAUCUACCAUCGAGUGGGGAAUAACCAGCCGAAAGGUUGGCUAAUACCGCGUACGCCUCCGGAUCUUCGGGUUCGGAGGGAAAGCUGCACUGUGAGUGUAGCGCUCUUUGAUGAGCUCAUGUCCUAUCAGCUUGUUGGUAGGGUAACGGCCUACCAAGGCUUUGACGGGUAGCUGGUCUGAGAGGACGGUCAGCCACACUGGCACUGCGACACGGGCCAGACUCCUACGGGAGGCAGCAGUAAGGAAUAUUGCGCAAUGGGCGAAAGCCUGACGCAGCGACGCCGCGUGGGGGAUGAAGGUCUUCGGAUUGUAAACCCCUUUCGGGAGGGAAGAUGGGGCGAGCAAUCGUUCGGACGGUACCUCCAGAAGCAGCCACGGCCAACUUCGU